UUUUAUUUUUUACCUUUAUUUUAUUAGGCAAGUGAGUUAAGAACAAAUUCUUAUUUACAAUGACGGUCUAGGAACAGUGGGUUAACUGCCGUGUUCAGAGGUACAACGACAGAUUUUUACCUUGUCAGCUUGGGGAUUAGAUCUUGCAACCUUUCAGAUACUAGUCCAACGCUCUAACCACUAGGCUACCUGCUCUAACCACUAGGCUACCUGCUCUAACCACUAGGCUACCUGCUCUAACCACUAGGCUACCUGCUCUAACCACUAGGCUACAUGUCUCUAACCACUAGGCUACCUGCUCUAACCACUAGGCUACCUGCUCUAACCACUAGGCUACCUGCUCUAACCACUAGGCUACCUGCUCUAACCACUAGGCUACCUGGAUCUAACCACUAGGCUACCUGCUCUAACCACUAGGCUACCUGGCUCUAACCACUAGGCUACCUGCCGCCCCAUAUAUGAGAGGAGAUGGGAGGAGGAUAAUUGUACAAUACAGGUACCAUUCACUAAUGUCAUUACUUAUACCCGGAAAAUAUGAGGGGUAAGUGGAGAUAAUAUGAGAGGUAGGUGGAGAUAAUAUGAGAGGUAGGUGGAGAUAAUAUGAGGGGUAGGUAGAGAUAAUAUGAGGGGUAGGUAGAGAUAAUAUGAGGGGUAGUUAGAGAUAAUAUGAGGGGUAGGUGGAGAUAAUAUGAGGGGUAGGUAGAGAUAAUAUGAGGGGUAGGUAGAGAUAAUAUGAGGGGUAGGUGGAGAUAAUAUGAGGGGUAGGUAGAGAUAAUAUGAGGGGUAGGUAGAGAUAAUAUGAGGGGUAGGUAGAGAUAAUAUGAGGGGUAGGUGGAGAUAUUAUGUGGGGUAGGUAGAGAUAAUAUGAAAGUGUAAUUUCAUAGCAUGAAUGAUUUAAUCUCCCAAAGCCUGAUUUUUCCUGACAGUUGGCUCCGAUGUCUCGCUCCAUUAUGCAUGUCAUUUUGAUUCCUCCAACUGGGUCGCUGCUCGGCUCUAUCAGACCAAAGUGUUUGAAAUUGUCAGCAAGAGAAAGGCGUUGGUUCUCUCUGGAUAUCAACCAUCAGCUUCACAGCCCAGCCUGAGAGAGAGAGAGAGGGGGAGAGAGAGAGGGGGAGGGAAAGAGAGAGAGA
Molecule: long non-coding RNA, 1130 nt
Filed under: Salmo salar (Atlantic salmon)
Lineage: Eukaryota; Metazoa; Chordata; Actinopteri; Salmoniformes; Salmonidae
Description: lncRNA (ENSSSAG00000114355.1)
Source: RNAcentral